AAAAUGAUUUUCACGAAUCGGAAGGUUAACACUAGUAUUAGUCAGACGGACUGUUUUGCGACGUUUUGUCAAUGGAAUGCCAAAGCUUGUGGCAUUAGAACUAGCAAGGUUAGCAGCGGAAGGCAGUAGCCCUGCCACGCCCCCUACCGAGACUUCUGCAAGACUGACCUAUGCUAAUCGAAUUUGAAAUACGUUACAAAAUCAAGGUGUAGGCGGUGCAAAAAAAAAUAAAUAAAAAAACAUUUGAGUUUUGUUAUUUAGCUUGGCUUGGCUUGACUCUCGGCUGGUUUUGGAGCGCGUGCCAAGAAAACUGAAACAAGACCAACAUAAUAACCCAGCCAUAAUGAGUGAAGUGUUAACCAUUGUUAACGUGUUUUUGCUGCUGCUGCUGCUGCUGCUGCUCAAAGGUAACAAUUGCACUCAAAAGUACUACGACCCAAUUUGAACCGGUUUGUAUUUUCCAUUUUUGCUCAUUGUCUUUGGCUCAGUAUGUGCAUGUGUAUGUGUGUGUGUGUGUAGAUUAGUCAAGCGUUUGGCUGUUUGGUUAGCAACAAUGCUGUCAAACGUUUGCUGGCCGCAACAUUGUUGCCAAGCAUUUGUUGCCAAGCAAAUUAUGAAAUGCGCCGUCGCCACGCCCCUCACACACACACACACACACACACACACGCCAAAUUAUUAAUAAUCAACUAAUUUGAGGCGCGACAGACAUGGCAAUUCGAGCUAAAACUUUAAUAUACGAGCACACACAUACUUUCUCCACACAAAAAAAAAAAGCACAGCCCAGAGCGCAGCUUCCAUUUUAUGUGCAAAUUAAAACCAAGUUUAAAAAUUGUAAAAAAAAAAUAGCUUUGGUUGGCUCACACAG
This is a long non-coding RNA of Drosophila arizonae, 865 nucleotides long. The record is from RefSeq and is a predicted model, not a curated record. NCBI's taxonomy places the organism in Eukaryota, Metazoa, Arthropoda, Insecta, Diptera, Drosophilidae.